Molecule: ribosomal RNA, 816 nt
Filed under: Ascomyceta sp. shylm10
Lineage: Eukaryota; Fungi; Ascomycota
Description: eukaryotic LSU rRNA
Rfam family: 5.8S ribosomal RNA (bases 156-309)
Source: RNAcentral
CCGGAAGGAUCAUUAACGAUUUCGGUGUAAAAAACCGUUUUCUACCUAUGUCUACGCGUACCACAUGUUUCCUCGGGGGGCUUGCCCCCCGCUAGGACCCUUUAUCAAACCUUUUUGUAAUAGCAGUCAGCGUCUGAUACUAAGUUAAUUAUUAAAACUUUCAACAAUGGAUCUCUUGGUUCUGGCAUCGAUGAAGAACGCAGCGAAAUGCGAUAAGUAGUGUGAAUUGCAGAAUUCAGUGAAUCAUCGAAUCUUUGAACGCACAUUGCGCCCCUUGGUAUUCCAUGGGGCAUGCCUGUUCGAGCGUCAUUUGAACCCUCAAGCUCUGCUUGGUGUUGGGUGUUUGUCCCGCCAUUGCGCGUGGACUCGCCUUAAAGCAAUUGGCAGCCAUGUAAUCCGGCUUUGAGCGCAGCACAUUGCGUACUCUCUACUGGGACAUGGGCAUCCAGAAGCCUUAUUUUUUACUCUUGACCUCGGAUCAGGUAGGGAUACCCGCUGAACUUAAGCAUAUCAAUGAGGCCGGAGGAAGAUCAUUAACGAUUUCGGUGUAAAAAACGUUUUCUACCUAUGUCUACGCGUACCACAUGUUUCCUCGGGGGGCUUGCCCCCGCUAGGACCUUUAUCAAACCUUUUUGUAAUAGCAGUCAGCGUCUGAUACUAAGUUAAUUAUUAAAACUUUCACAAUGGAUCUCUUGGUUCUGGCAUGAUGAAGAACGCAGCGAAAUGCGAUAAGUAGUGUGAAAUUGCGAAAUUCGUGAAUCAUCAAAUCUUUGAACGCACAUUGCGCCCUUGGUAUUCAUGGGGCAUGCCUGUUUC